This 585-nucleotide ribosomal RNA is filed under the name uncultured bacterium. RNAcentral's name for it is "bacterial SSU rRNA". It matches the Rfam family "Bacterial small subunit ribosomal RNA", at positions 338 to 916 of the family's 1533-position model. The record is from RNAcentral.
CCUACGGGAGGCAGCAGUGGGGAAUUUUGGACAAUGGGCGCAAGCCUGAUCCAGCAAUGCCGCGUGAGUGAAGAAGGCCUUCGGGUUGUAAAGCUCUUUUGUCAGGGAAGAAACGGUUGGGGCUAAUAUCCUCGGCUAAUGACGGUACCUGAAGAAUAAGCACCGGCUAACUACGUGCCAGCAGCCGCGGUAAUACGUAGGGUGCAAGCGUUAAUCGGAAUUACUGGGCGUAAAGCGUGCGCAGGCGGUUUUGUAAGUCUGUCGUGAAAGCCCCGGGCUUAACCUGGGAAUUGCGAUGGAGACUGCAAGGCUUGAAUCUGGCAGAGGGGGGUAGAAUUCCACGUGUAGCAGUGAAAUGCGUAGAGAUGUGGAGGAACACCGAUGGCGAAGGCAGCCCCCUGGGUCAAGAUUGACGCUCAUGCACGAAAGCGUGGGGAGCAAACAGGAUUAGAUACCCUGGUAGUCCACGCCCUAAACGAUGUCUACUAGUUGUCGGGUCUUAAUUGACUUGGUAACGCAGCUAACGCGUGAAGUAGACCGCCUGGGGAGUACGGUCGCAAGAUUAAAACUUAAAGGAAUUGACGG